This 87-nucleotide ribosomal RNA is filed under the name Sus scrofa (pig). The record is from RNAcentral. Lineage: Eukaryota; Metazoa; Chordata; Mammalia; Artiodactyla; Suidae.
GUCUAUGGCCAUAUCAGCCUGAACGCAUCCAAUCUCAUCUGAUCUCAGAAGCUAAGCAGGGUUGAUCCUACCUGGGAAAAUUUGUCU